GACGAACGCUGGCGGCGUGCUUAACACAUGCAAGUCGAACGGAUAGGCCCUGCUUUUGUGUGGUUCUCGAGUGGCGAAAGGGUGAGUAACACGUGAGUAACCUGCCCUUUACUUUGGGAUAACUUCAGGAAACUGGGUCUAAUACCGGAUAUGAGCUCCUGCUGCAUGGUUUGGGUUGGAAAGUUUCGGCGGUUGGGGAUGGACUCGCGGCUUAUCAGCUUGUUGGUGGGGUAGUGGCUUACCAAGGCUUUGACGGGUAGCCGGACUGAGAGGGUGACCGGCCACAUUGGGACUGAGAUACGGCCCAGACUCAUACGGGAGGCAGCAGUGGGGAAUAUUGCACAAUGGGCGGAAGCCUGAUGCAGCAACGCCGCGUGCGAGAUGACGGCCUUCGGGUUGUAACCCGCAUUCGCCUGUGACGAAGCGUGCGUGACGGUAAUGGGUAAAGAAGCAACGGCUAACUACGUG
This 468-nucleotide ribosomal RNA is filed under the name uncultured bacterium. Its description in RNAcentral is "partial 16S ribosomal RNA". It matches the Rfam family "Bacterial small subunit ribosomal RNA", at positions 28 to 507 of the family's 1533-position model. The record is from RNAcentral.